Molecule: ribosomal RNA, 254 nt
Filed under: uncultured bacterium
Lineage: Bacteria
Description: partial 16S ribosomal RNA
Rfam family: Bacterial small subunit ribosomal RNA
Source: RNAcentral
UACGUAGGGUGCGAGCGUUGUCCGGAAUUACUGGGCGUAAAGAGCUCGUAGGCGGUUUGUCGCGUCGUCCGUGAAAACUUGGGGCUCAACCCCAAGCUUGCGGGCGAUAACGGGCAGACUUGAGUACUGCAGGGGAGACUGGAAUUCCUGGUGUAGCGGUGAAAUGCGCAGAUAUCAGGAGGAACACCGGUGGCGAAGGCGGGUCUCUGGGCCGAUACUGACGCUGAGGAGCGAAAGCGUGGGGAGCGAACAGG